RNAcentral lists this long non-coding RNA (265 nucleotides) under Brassica napus (rape). Its description in RNAcentral is "long non-coding RNA (BNAP_LNC025339)". The record is from RNAcentral. Lineage: Eukaryota; Viridiplantae; Streptophyta; Magnoliopsida; Brassicales; Brassicaceae.
AUCCAUGCUGAUGAUGAGCUUGUUAUGGUUUGACUAGUGAAUAUAUAUUUAAUUUAUAUAACAUAAAUAAACUAUUAAGUAUCACCUGCAUAGUACAUAAUAGUUACCGAAUUUUGAAUUUUUAUUGAGACUAUAUUGAAUUAAAACGUUUCAAAUGAAGUAUACAAACACUAAGUGAAUUUUACUCUGAAUUUAUUUAGGAUGAUCAAGCAUGCUGAAUAUUCUUAUCGAAUUGUUUUUCUCUUGAGGUGUGUCCACGUUUUGC